AGCAGCCGCGGUAAUUCCAGCUCCAAUAGCGUAUAUUAAAGUUGUUGCAGUUAAAAAGCUCGUAGUUGAACUUCGGGGUUUACCCAUUGGUCAGGCGUAAUUGUCUGUACUGGUGAGAUGAAUCUCUACCUUCUGAGGAACUUUCAUGCCAUUUAGUUGGUGUGAUAGGAAAUCAGGACUGUUACUUUGAAAAAUUAGAGUGUUUAAAGCAGGCUAACGUCUGAAUACAUUAGCAUGGAAUAAUGAAAUAGGACGGAUUGGUUCUAUUUCGUUGGUUUCUAGGAUCACCGUAAUGAUUAAUAGGGAUAGUUGGGGGCAUUAGUAUUCAAUUGUCAGAGGUGAAAUUCUUGGAUUUAUUGAAGACUAACUAUUGCGAAAAGCAUUUGCCAAGGAUGUUUUCAUUAAUCAAGAACGAAAGUUAGGGGAUCGAAGACGAUCAGAUACCGUCGUAGU
Molecule: ribosomal RNA, 453 nt
Filed under: uncultured Diversispora
Lineage: Eukaryota; Fungi; Glomeromycota; Glomeromycetes; Diversisporales; Diversisporaceae
Description: SSU rRNA
Rfam family: Eukaryotic small subunit ribosomal RNA
Source: RNAcentral